Molecule: unclassified non-coding RNA, 402 nt
Filed under: soil metagenome
Description: partial contains 5.8S ribosomal RNA, internal transcribed spacer 2, and large subunit ribosomal RNA
Rfam family: 5.8S ribosomal RNA (bases 1-121)
Source: RNAcentral
GAUGAAGAACGUAGCGAAAUGCGAUAAGUAAUGUGAAUUGCAGAAUUCAGUGAAUCAUCGAAUCUUUGAACGCACCUUGCGCCCUUUGGCUAUUCUGAAGGGCAUGCCUGUUUGAGUAUCGUGAACACCUCAACUCUCAUGGUCUGCCAUGAUGAGCUUGGACUUUGGGGGUCUUGCUGGCCUACUGUCAGCUCCUCUCAAAUGAAUCAGCUUACCAGUGUUUGGUGGCACCACAGGUGUGAUAACUAUCUACGCUUGUGGUUUUCUGCCAGGUAACCUCCAGUGAUGGAGGUUCGCUGGAGCUCACAAAUGUCUCUCCUCAGCGAGGACAGCUUUUUGAACGUUUGAUCUCAAAUCAGGUAGGGCUACCCGCUGAACUUAAGCAUAUCAAUAAGCGGAGGA